UGGCCUGAGUGGCACUGUGAUCCUGCACGCCUCUUCCCACGUUGUCUUUCCACUUACCUCCAUUUCUGGAUUUGUUCUAGGCCCUCCAGUCUUGCGUCAUUAAAACGUGCAGCUCUAAACAGAGGAUUCCAGAGAGCCUAAGUACAGUCACUCGAUUUUAACUGGUUCUGCUUUGCUUUUCAUUGUAUUUAUUUGGGAGCGCAGCUAAUUGGAUCAUUUGUUUAUACUCUAUCCCAGAGAGUCAGUGACAGAGGGAAGAAACAAAAUCUUAUCAAAGAAAUUGCUUUCUGUUUGUAAAAAUAAGACUAAACAUAGUAAUAAUACCUUCUACUGAAAUCACAGCUAAUUAGGCCCCGCAUCUGACUAGAGGGUUAAAAAGUGUCAUAGAUUUACCUCUCUAAGUAAUAUGCUUACAACAGUUCCAUGAAAAAUUAAGAAAGGAUUAACAUCCUUCUUCAAUGGGGAUGCUUCGAAAAGCAUUACGCUCGCACUUUGUUAUAACAAUUAUUUUUCAUUCACGUUCUGUGCCUCCUAUUUUGAGCCUAUUCAUUUUUCCUCUAAUUUUAAGAAUAAAUAAAGCAAAAUGGAAGCUCGUGUUAUUACUUAGUAUGAAAACACAGAACCUAAUUAUAGCUAAUGAGUGUAAUAAACGCCGGGCUGCACCUCCCCUUGCUUGUGUGUGUUUCCUAUACAGAAGGUAACACGGGCUGAGUAACGAGGACGCCAAGUUACAGAUGGGGUUGAGGAAUGCUAUUUGACAGGCGAUUAGAGUCAUCUGUCAGAAAUGAUGACUUAAUCACCAGAGCAGACUCUAGCUCCCCUCC
Molecule: long non-coding RNA, 824 nt
Filed under: Bos taurus (domestic cattle)
Lineage: Eukaryota; Metazoa; Chordata; Mammalia; Artiodactyla; Bovidae
Description: long non-coding RNA NONBTAT005004
Source: RNAcentral